This 633-nucleotide ribosomal RNA is filed under the name Rupicapra rupicapra (chamois). RNAcentral's name for it is "partial 12S ribosomal RNA". It matches the Rfam family "Bacterial small subunit ribosomal RNA", at positions 612 to 1484 of the family's 1533-position model. The record is from RNAcentral. Lineage: Eukaryota; Metazoa; Chordata; Mammalia; Artiodactyla; Bovidae.
ACGGCGUAAAACGUGUUAAAGCACCUCACAAAAUAGAGUUAAAUAUUAGUUAAACUGUAAAAAGCCAUAACUAUAACAAAAAUAAAUGACGAAAGUAACCCUACAGCAGCUGACACACUAUAGCUAAGACCCAAACUGGGAUUAGAUACCCCACUAUGCUUAGCCCUAAACACAAAUAAUUAAAUAAACAAAAUUAUUCGCCAGAGUACUACCGGCAACAGCCCAAAACUCAAAGGACUUGGCGGUGCUUCACACCCUUCUAGAGGAGCCUGUUCUAUAAUCGAUAAACCCCGAUAAACCUCACCAAUCCUUGCUAAUACAGUCUAUAUACCGCCAUCUUCAGCAAACCCUAAAAAGGAACAAAAGUAAGCUCAAUCAUAGCACAUAAAGACGUUAGGUCAAGGUGUAACCUAUGGAAUGGGAAGAAAUGGGCUACAUUUUCUAUUUCAAGAAAAUUUAACACGAAAGCUAUUAUGAAACUAAUGGCCAAAGGAGGAUUUAGCAGUAAACUGAGAAUAGAGUGCUCAGUUGAAUCAGGCCAUGAAGCACGCACACACCGCCCGUCACCCUCCUCAAGUGAAUACAGGACACUCAAAACCUAUUUAAACACACCAAUCACACAAGAGGAGACAA